Molecule: long non-coding RNA, 539 nt
Filed under: Linum usitatissimum (flax)
Lineage: Eukaryota; Viridiplantae; Streptophyta; Magnoliopsida; Malpighiales; Linaceae
Description: long non-coding RNA (LUSI_LNC008311)
Source: RNAcentral
AUCACUUCGUUGAAUAACCAACCCUCUUGUGGCAUCUCAAAUAUGAAGAGCUUCAACAUCAUUGCUUUCUUCUUCUUUGUGGCCUUGUUCCUCCUUACCAGUGGGUUUCGUUAGUUCGACCUUUUAGUGACGAAAAACGGGCUAUAAAUUAGUAUCCCAUAUUGAUUUUUUUUUACAUUUAUUCAUUUUGGCGAUAUUUGUCGUCGUCGUCGCAGGUGAUCGUGCCGGAGUGGGUGCCACGAGGAUAAAUCGGAGAGAAGGUUUAUGUUUUAAAGGGUACAUUCCCAACCUCCAUUGUGAGCCAAUUGAUGUGCCUGAGCAAAAUACGUGUCUUAUGGAGUGCCAAGCUAAGUAUGGAAAUGCUGGUGAAGGGAUAUGUGACAAGAAGAACAAGUGCGCUUGUUAUACUCGUUUUCCCACUGAUGACCAUUGCAUACAUAAUAAUUAAUAAUUAGUAAUAAAAUAAAAUAAAAAGAGAGAUAAGAAAAAGAUGUCCAAUUGGUUAUAUAAAUGGUUAUUAAUUUAAUUGAUGGACUUGG